ACUGAUUAGAUCAUUGAAAUAUGAGCUGAAAAACAAAGAAGCAACAGAAAAAAGGUUGUCACAUAACCAAUGCAAGCUUCACAGUUGUGUAAGACAUCUGGAACAGCGGAACAGCAGAUGACAAAAACCCUGGUGACAGUUGCCAACUGGCCUCAGAUGAGGAGUCAUAGAGACUGACCCUGAGCCAUGUCCUCAGUGCAUGCUGGAUACCUGACAUGCAACAAAACAGCAAAACCAGCAGUUCCCCAGUCAGGGACCCAUGCCAACAGGUGGCCAACACUGUGCUAAGGUCUUUAGGAUAACCAUUGCAAGACAAGUCAUUGUGGUCAAACAUUCCCUAAGUACAAGGAGAGAGCAGUAACCUAUCAGGAUUGUACUCGACAAGUACUUGACAAUCCCAGGAGGAAAACUGCAGGAUAGCGAGGGUAAAGUUUCAAAAUUGUGUGUAUGACAUAGGAAGCUAAUGUCCUCCUAAAUAAUACAGGUGCAAUUAAAAAGCUUCACUGUAUCCUAUUAUUUUUGUAUGCCAAAGUAGCCAGUAUUGCUUUAUGCAAAUUUGUUCUUGACCUCUUUUACUUUACUGUACAUGGGAGUCAAAUGCAUUCACCAAAGUUUCUGGAUGUAUAUGCAUAACACUCUUUAUCUGAUUUCCGGUGUUUUUCCUCUGAUUUUCAUAUGAUAAAUUAAUUAAAUUGCUGCUUACAUUCUCUUACUAGAAAUAAAUCUAGUAAGAAAUAAAACAGACUGUAAGAAUUUAUUCAAAAGUAGUUAAAAAUGCCUGUUGUCUUUUUAAAAAUAUUUAUUCAUUUCAGAGGGUUAAUGGUGUCAUACUGAACAGAGACAUAGAGUAAUUGUGUCAAUAUUAUCAAGGUCAAAUGAAGUGCCACUGACUCCAACAUGGUUUUGACACAAUGCAACCUGACUAUAUAAAACAAAAAGCUAAUUUUAAAAAUCAUUUACCUCCUGUAGACCUUAAAAUGGAUUUUACUAAUGAAAACUAGAAUGUAUUUUUUUUCCUGAUAGGUGAAGCAAAUGAGACUGUGGAAGCAAGUAUAUGUUGACAAGGGCAAACUAAAUGUCCAA
This is a long non-coding RNA of Passer domesticus (house sparrow), 1083 nucleotides long. RefSeq lists it as uncharacterized. The record is from RefSeq and is a predicted model, not a curated record. The transcript is spliced from 3 exons. NCBI's taxonomy places the organism in Eukaryota, Metazoa, Chordata, Aves, Passeriformes, Passeridae.